CAGCAGCCGCGUAAUACGGAGGAUCCAAGCGUUAUCCGGAAUCAUUGGGUUUAAAGGGUCCGUAGGCGGUCUUGUAAGUCAGUGGUAAAAGCCCAUCGCUCAACGGUGGAACGGCCAUUGAUACUGCAGGACUUGAAUUAUUGGGAAGUAACUAGAAUAUGUAGUGUAGCGGUGAAAUGCUUAGAGAUUACAUGGAAUACCAAUUGCGAAGGCAGGUUACUACCAAUUGAUUGACGCUGAUGGACGAAAGCGUGGGUAGCGAACAGGAUUAGAGACCCCGGUAGUCCCUGUCUCUUAUACA
RNAcentral lists this ribosomal RNA (301 nucleotides) under uncultured bacterium. RNAcentral's name for it is "partial 16S ribosomal RNA". It matches the Rfam family "Bacterial small subunit ribosomal RNA", at positions 509 to 808 of the family's 1533-position model. The record is from RNAcentral.